GAUGAACGCUGGCGGCGUGCCUAAUACAUGCAAGUCGAGCGAACAGACGAGGAGCUUGCUCCUCUGACGUUAGCGGCGGACGGGUGAGUAACACGUGGAUAACCUACCUAUAAGACUGGGAUAACUUCGGGAAACCGGAGCUAAUACCGGAUAAUAUAUUGAACCGCAUGGUUCAAUAGUGAAAGACGGUUUUGCUGUCACUUCUAGAUGGAUCCGCGCCGCAUUAGCUAGUUGGUAGGGUAACGGCUUACCAAGGCAACCAUGCGUUGCCGACGGGUGAGGCGGCUCGCCGACAUGGGAGCUUGACCGGCCACAAUGCUCCUCGGGGACGGCCCAGGGUGAUACGGGCGGAAGCGGUGGGAAACCUGACGCAAAGGGCGGACGCGAGAAGCAAGGGCGUCGGUUUCGGAAAACUGGUUUAUGAGAAAAAAACAACUUUCUAAUAUACUAUGCCGUGAUUGACGGUAAUUAAUAAAAAAGCCACGGCUAACUACGUG
RNAcentral lists this ribosomal RNA (497 nucleotides) under uncultured bacterium. Its description in RNAcentral is "partial 16S ribosomal RNA". It matches the Rfam family "Bacterial small subunit ribosomal RNA", at positions 28 to 507 of the family's 1533-position model. The record is from RNAcentral.